AGGGCGCACGGUGGAUGCCUUGACACUAGGAGUCGAUGAAGGACGGGACUAACGCCGAUAUGCUUCGGGGAGCUGUAAGUAAGCUUUGAUCCGAAGAUUUCCGAAUGGGGAAACCCACCAUACGUAAUGGUAUGGUAUCCUUAUCUGAAUACAUAGGAUAAGGAAGACAGACCCAGGGAACUGAAACAUCUAAGUACCUGGAGGAAGAGAAAGCAAAUGCGAUUUCCUGAGUAGCGGCGAGCGAAACGGAACAUAGCCCAAACCAAGAGGCUUGCCUCUUGGGGUUGUAGGACAUUCUAUACGGAGUUACAAAGGAACGAGGUAGACGAAGCGACCUGGAAAGGUCCGUCGUAGAGGGUAACAACCCCGUAGUCGAAACUUCGUUCUCUCUUGAAUGUAUCCUGAGUACGGCGGAACACGUGAAAUUCCGUCGGAAUCUGGGAGGACCAUCUCCCAAGGCUAAAUACUCCCUAGUGAUCGAUAGUGAACCAGUACCGUGAGGGAAAGGUGAAAAGCACCCCGGAAGGGGAGUGAAAGAGAUCCUGAAACCGUGUGCCUACAAAUAGUCAGAGCCCGUUAACGGGUGAUGGCGUGCCUUUUGUAGAAUGAACCGGCGAGUUACGAUCCCGUGCGAGGUUAAGCUGAAGAGGCGGAGCCGCAGCGAAAGCGAGUCUGAAUAGGGCGUUUAGUACGUGGUCGUAGACCCGAAACCAGGUGAUCUACCCAUGUCCAGGGUGAAGUUCAGGUAACACUGAAUGGAGGCCCGAACCCACGCACGUUGAAAAGUGCGGGGAUGAGGUGUGGGUAGCGGAGAAAUUCCAAUCGAACCUGGAGAUAGCUGGUUCUCCCCGAAAUAGCUUUAGGGCUAGCCUUAAGUGUAAGAGUCUUGGAGGUAGAGCACUGAUUGGACUAGGGGUCCUCAUCGGAUUACCGAAUUCAGUCAAACUCCGAAUGCCAAUGACUUAUCCUUAGGAGUCAGACUGCGAGUGAUAAGAUCCGUAGUCAAAAGGGAAACAGCCCAGACCGCCAGCUAAGGUCCCAAAGUGUGUAUUAAGUGGAAAAGGAUGUGGAGUUGCUUAGACAACUAGGAUGUUGGCUUAGAAGCAGCCACCAUUUAAAGAGUGCGUAAUAGCUCACUAGUCGAGUGACUCUGCGCCGAAAAUGUACCGGGGCUAAAUACACCACCGAAGCUGCGGAUUGAUACCAAUGGUAUCAGUGGUAGGGGAGCGUUCUAAGGACAGUGAAGUCAGACCGGAAGGACUGGUGGAGUGCUUAGAAGUGAGAAUGCCGGUAUGAGUAGCGAAAGACGGGUGAGAAUCCCGUCCACCGAAUGCCUAAGGUUUCCUGAGGAAGGCUCGUCCGCUCAGGGUUAGUCAGGACCUAAGCCGAGGCCGACAGGCGUAGGCGAUGGACAACAGGUUGAUAUUCCUGUACCACCUCUUUAUCGUUUGAGCAAUGGAGGGACGCAGAAGGAUAGAAGAAGCGUGCGAUUGGUUGUGCACGUCCAAGCAGUUAGGCUGAUAAGUAGGCAAAUCCGCUUAUCGUGAAGGCUGAGCUGUGAUGGGGAAGCUCCUUAUGGAGCGAAGUCUUUGAUUCCCCGCUGCCAAGAAAAGCUUCUAGCGAGAUAAAAGGUGCCUGUACCGCAAACCGACACAGGUAGGCGAGGAGAGAAUCCUAAGGUGUGCGAGAGAACUCUGGUUAAGGAACUCGGCAAAAUGACCCCGUAACUUCGGGAGAAGGGGUGCUUUCUUAACGGAAAGCCGCAGUGAAUAGGCCCAAGCGACUGUUUAGCAAAAACACAGCUCUCUGCGAAGCCGUAAGGCGAAGUAUAGGGGGUGACACCUGCCCGGUGCUGGAAGGUUAAGGAGAGGGGUUAGCGUAAGCGAAGCUCUGAACUGAAGCCCCAGUAAACGGCGGCCGUAACUAUAACGGUCCUAAGGUAGCGAAAUUCCUUGUCGGGUAAGUUCCGACCCGCACGAAAGGUGUAACGAUUUGGGCACUGUCUCAACCAGAGACUCGGUGAAAUUAUAGUACCUGUGAAGAUGCAGGUUACCCGCGACAGGACGGAAAGACCCCGUGGAGCUUUACUGUAGCCUGAUAUUGAAUUUUGGUACAGUUUGUACAGGAUAGGCGGGAGCCUUUGAAACCGGAGCGCUAGCUUCGGUGGAGGCGCUGGUGGGAUACCGCCCUGACUGUAUUGAAAUUCUAACCUACGGGUCUUAUCGACCCGGGAGACAGUGUCAGGUGGGCAGUUUGACUGGGGCGGUCGCCUCCUAAAGUGUAACGGAGGCGCCCAAAGGUUCCCUCAGAAUGGUUGGAAAUCAUUCGUAGAGUGCAAAGGCAUAAGGGAGCUUGACUGCGAGACCUACAAGUCGAGCAGGGACGAAAGUCGGGCUUAGUGAUCCGGUGGUUCCGCAUGGAAGGGCCAUCGCUCAACGGAUAAAAGCUACCCCGGGGAUAACAGGCUUAUCUCCCCCAAGAGUCCACAUCGACGGGGAGGUUUGGCACCUCGAUGUCGGCUCAUCGCAUCCUGGGGCUGUAGUCGGUCCCAAGGGUUGGGCUGUUCGCCCAUUAAAGCGGUACGCGAGCUGGGUUCAGAACGUCGUGAGACAGUUCGGUCCCUAUCCGUCGUGGGCGUAGGAAAUUUGAGAGGAGCUGUCCUUAGUACGAGAGGACCGGGAUGGACGCACCGCUGGUGUACCAGUUGUUCUGCCAAGGGCAUAGCUGGGUAGCUAUGUGCGGAAGGGAUAAGUGCUGAAAGCAUCUAAGCAUGAAGCCCCCCUCAAGAUGAGAUUUCCCAUAGCGUAAGCUAGU
This 2814-nucleotide ribosomal RNA is filed under the name Bacillus cereus. Its description in RNAcentral is "bacterial LSU rRNA". It matches the Rfam family "Bacterial large subunit ribosomal RNA". Lineage: Bacteria; Bacillati; Bacillota; Bacilli; Caryophanales; Bacillaceae. RNAcentral also lists the same sequence under 2 other names. The record is from RNAcentral.